Small nucleolar RNA from Apodemus sylvaticus (European woodmouse), 131 nucleotides. RefSeq annotates it as small nucleolar RNA SNORA17. NCBI's taxonomy places the organism in Eukaryota, Metazoa, Chordata, Mammalia, Rodentia, Muridae. The transcript has a single exon. The record is from RefSeq and is a predicted model, not a curated record.
CCCCCCUCCAGAGGCAUUGCAGGUGUGACUGCUGUGUCGUGUGUGCAUCAGUAGGUGGAGAGAGGAGAGAGGACAUGUAUAUGUUCAGUGUUCUGGCCUGUGGACUUCUGAAUGAUGAGAAUCAUAACAUC